This is a long non-coding RNA of Talpa occidentalis (Iberian mole), 640 nucleotides long. RefSeq lists it as uncharacterized. The transcript has 4 exons. The record is from RefSeq and is a predicted model, not a curated record. Lineage: Eukaryota; Metazoa; Chordata; Mammalia; Eulipotyphla; Talpidae.
CAAGACUGUUCCUGGCUCUGGAGCUUCACAAUACUUAAUGAAAUGUUCGUUAACAAUAGAAUUACAACUGAGAUAGCCAUAUGACAGCACAAAAUGAAAUGAAAAAACAAAAUGAAAUGACACUGGAGUUGCUAAUCCAUGCUACAUGCAGCAACGAAAAUCAAAACGAAAUAAAAUAACACCCUGCAUAUGUGUAUAGACUCCAAGGAAGUGGAGCUUAAGUGUAAUUUCAGCCUCAACUUUCAAUAGCAUGAAGCCUCACUUCCUUCACAGAGAGUGCUGAAAUCAGAAACACAUGCUACCUCCUGACUCAGUGGCUAAGUGGCUGAGUGUCUCUGGACAAAUAAGUUCCCCAUCUACAUGCCGACACCAACUUGCAUGGUCACAGGCAAAGCAAGAAGGUCAAGGCCCCUGGAAUUCUUGGGGUCGGCUGCUUGUCUUAAGAGGAUUAAAGUAUGAGACAGUCUCUGGAUAGGACAAAUGUAUUAAGGGAACCAUGGUGGCAUCUGGACAAAGAAUAUAUAAGAAAUGGCCACGGGGAGAUUCAGAGCUGGAAAGCACCAAGGAAGAAGGCCAACAAAUGCCAGUUAUGUCAUUUUGACCUUUUGUUAAGACCCUGGUCCACGAGAAGAAGAUAUUG